CUCCUCUGCAAGAGGCGCCACCGCUCGGGAGCCGCGUUGAGCCGUUCACUGGCUGAGGUAGUAGUUUGUGUAGUUACAGGGCAGUCAUUUUUGCCCAUUGGAGAUAACUAUACAUUCUACUGCCUUGCCAGUGCAGCUUACCCACUACAGAGACGUCCACGCCACCAAGGACUGGUGCCAGCGUUAAUGAUGCGACAUCGGAUGGAAAUGCGACGGAGCUGCUAACGUCACCAAGUGUUGGACACUUCAUAAGAAGCAGUGAACUUCAGCUCUGCAGAUAGGAAACAGUCAAAAUCAUAUGAAUCUUUUUUUACGAUAACUCUUUGAACACUACUGCUCGAUUCCUGUGCUUUAAAUCCACAAUUUAGCGCAUUCUGGGAUUUGUAGUCUUGCUUACCCUAACUAGAACACACCGGGCUUGAACUUCUGACACCAAUGAUUUGUAAAAAGGAAAGUAAACACUGGAAAAGCUGCACUUUUUUCGACCCCAUAUAUGGGGCCAUUUGGUCCCUUAAUCUAAUCUAACAAUAUAAUAAAAGGCCAGAUGUAUGUUUGUCCAAUGCAGUCAUAGCUUCAGCUGUUGUCAACACUAGAGGGAGCUGUUGCCUUAGGAUAUAUUGAACCAAUGCCUAUUUGCAUUGCUUCGCCUGUGAUCACCACUAGAGGGAGCUGUUGCCUUAUGAUACAUAGUGGUCCUACUGUGUUAAUGAAAACCUACACUUUGGCCUGUGUAUACAGGCUUCUACACUAGUAACACAACAAUCUCCCAUUAGACUUCUCUUUGCCAAGUGAAAGAUGAACAGGCGGUCAGCUAGAAGAGGGGUUCAUAUUGUUAUAUGUGCAUUGUAUGAGGUGGGCAUGGCUUGAGAUAGCCUGUAUUCCAUGUGGUAUGGGGAUUUUGAGAUCGGAGGGCAUUAAUCGCCAUAGGCGGUGACAUAUUCAUAAUUUGGGAAGUAAGUGUUCAAGCUGAGGGGGUGUGUUAUGAAAAUUGUACAUUCUGUGAGGUAAUCCACUCGAGAUUGUUGUGCGAUGCGCGUGGCAUGUGUAUUAUGAUGAGAAAUUGUGGCGUCCAUUUACCUAAUUGAUAUGCGUAUUACGAGCGGUGACCAACGCUCAAAAGGGGUGUCUCAGCCUUGUGUCAGUUGCAGGGCUCAAGCCCAGGGUACACGCGGGUGGACAUAGUCCCCCCACUUUUUUGAGGAGUCCCCCACAUUUUUCAGAGGGCACCUUGAUAUGCUAAUUUCUGGUGACGUCACAUUCAAUUGGUAUGUUAAUGAGCCCCCCGCCCCCACACUUUUUUUUGGGGACUUGGUCAGUAUCAUGUGAAGCUCCGGGGAUAUGAUGUGACCCACGCGAUAGUGGUAUAACCCCUGAGAUGGGGGAGUUGUCCGUUUCAUUAGGGUACCCCGGAAAGGGCCACUAUUGACAUAAGAGUGUGACUACCAUCCUAAGUGUAUUAUGGGCAAUGAGCAUUUCUCGCAAGAGUCCUGUCAUCCAUGUGACAUGUAUGAUAUGGGAGGGGCACUUCCCGAUAUGAAGGGGCGAACCAUGUGAAACCAACCUUUGAUGUGAUGUAUUAAAUAUAUGUUUUGAAUCAUUAUUUUCAGGUUUGUGCGUAACUGAGGCAACCAUAUCGGCGUAUCAUUGCCACAUUUUCGAAAGUACACAAUCUGUGCACUCUUCUUUUUUUAAUAUUCGAUGUAAAUUUAAGCAGCAAACUAUGUGAGAUUAAAUUGGAUUUUUCCAUGUUUAUGAUAAUUUACAAGGAUUUGAUGCGUAUGAAAGUCAGUCUAAAUGUUACUGUAAAAUGCCUUCGAUUCAUGACAAGUCUAACUUUUACUGGAAAAUCUUUCUACAGUAAAAUUGCGGAUGCUGUUCAUAUGAACUAAAGUAUGAUUUUAUUUUUAUGCAAGUGAGAUGUUGAUGGUUAGUCUGUCCAAAGCCGCUCUUGUUCUCUGCACAAGGCCGGAUACGCCAUCCCGGACUUCCUGUGAUGUCACGUUGAUGCCUUCAAACGAACCAAUAGCAUUUCGGUAAGAAGAAUGGCGCCCAAAAAA
RNAcentral lists this long non-coding RNA (2057 nucleotides) under Ambystoma mexicanum (axolotl). Its description in RNAcentral is "pri-let-7l". The stretch from base 48 to 132 matches the Rfam family "let-7 microRNA precursor family". The record is from RNAcentral. Lineage: Eukaryota; Metazoa; Chordata; Amphibia; Caudata; Ambystomatidae.